Molecule: ribosomal RNA, 496 nt
Filed under: uncultured bacterium
Lineage: Bacteria
Description: bacterial SSU rRNA
Rfam family: Bacterial small subunit ribosomal RNA
Source: RNAcentral
AAAUGAAUUGACGGGCACCCGCACAAGCGGUGGAGCAUGCUGUUUAAUUCGAAGGUACGCGAAGAACCUUACCAGGGCUUGACAUGCCGAUGACCGGUCUGGAAACAGAUCUUUCUCCCUCGGGAGACAUCGGACACAGGUGGUGCAUGGUUGUCGUCAGCUCGUGUCGUGAGAUGUUUGGUUAAGUCCAAUAACGAGCGCAACCCCUCUCCUUAGUUGCUAACAUUAAGUUGAGAACCCUAAGGAUACUGCCGGUGAUAAACCGGAGGAAGGUGGGGAUGAGGUCAAAUCAUCAUGCCCCUUACGUCCUGGGCUACAGGCGUGCUACAAUGGCCGGUAUAGAAAGAUGCAAUAUCGUAAGAUGGAGCAAAUCUCAAAAGCCGGUCUCAGUUCGGAUUGUGGUCUGCAACUCGACCACAUGAAGUUGGAAUCGCUAGUAAUGGCAAAUCAGAAUGUUGCCGUGAAUACGUUCCCGGGUGUUGUACACACCGCCCGU